CCUAACACAUGCAAGUCGAACGGUAACAGGAAACAGCUUGCUGUUUCGCUGACGAGUGGCGGACGGGUGAGUAAUGUCUGGGAAACUGCCUGAUGGAGGGGGAUAACUACUGGAAACGGUAGCUAAUACCGCAUAACGUCGCAAGACCAAAGAGGGGGACCUUCGGGCCUCUUGCCAUCGGAUGUGCCCAGAUGGGAUUAGCUAGUAGGUGGGGUAACGGCUCACCUAGGCGACGAUCCCUAGCUGGUCUGAGAGGAUGACCAGCCACACUGGAACUGAGACACGGUCCAGACUCCUACGGGAGGCAGCAGUGGGGAAUAUUGCACAAUGGGCGCAAGCCUGAUGCAGCCAUGCCGCGUGUAUGAAGAAGGCCUUCGGGUUGUAAUA
Molecule: ribosomal RNA, 387 nt
Filed under: uncultured bacterium
Lineage: Bacteria
Description: bacterial SSU rRNA
Rfam family: Bacterial small subunit ribosomal RNA
Source: RNAcentral